GUGCUCUCUUCAGCAGCAUGUAUGCUAAAAUUGGAAUGAUACAGAGAAGAUUAGCACGGCCCCUGCUCAAGGAUGGGCACGCAAAUUCGUGAAGUGUUCCAUAUUUUU
This is a small nuclear RNA of Kogia breviceps (pygmy sperm whale), 108 nucleotides long. Lineage: Eukaryota; Metazoa; Chordata; Mammalia; Artiodactyla; Physeteridae. The record is from RefSeq and is a predicted model, not a curated record.